AAAAAGUUUAAUAUAUAAUCAGUCACCAAAAUAAUUAUUAGAAGUACCAUGUUAUUCAUCAUUACAAGUUGAAAAUUUUUCAUCAGGAUAAUCUGGUAUUUCCAUUUAGCAAAGCAUGUUCAUCAGUCUCAUUGAUUCCAAGAUUCUUAUAACCAUCAUGAUUCAUAAACUUACAAUCAAUACCAUUAUAUGGCUAACAACUUCACGAUCAAAAUUUGAAGAGAUACAACUGGUAAUCGUAGAACAAUUUAGAAGUCAGAACCUAAACUCAAUUUGCAAAGCUCUUUCUCUCUGUAUUUUAAAUCAUCGCAUACCUCUUCAACGUCUGCUUCCCCGCCACCGCUGCCCCAGCCACCAACCCUCCCAACGCACCACCCACCGCAGCCGACCUCACUCCUCUCGCCGCUCUGCACACCGCCCCCGUCCCAAGCCCCACAGCCACGCUGGUCCACACAUCGUCCCUAUCCGUAACUGCCACCACUCCACUCUCCAUCAUGGCAUAGAUCAAACCCACCAUCCCGAUCCGAUUUCCCCAGGCUCGUCCCGAAAGGCCCGACGAGUUCAGAAUCCUAUUCACUUUCAGUUUCAAAGUAUCAGUGGGUUCGAAGGAUUUGAAGGCAGAGAAAAACCCGAUGGAAGCGCCGACAAUAGAGCCGGAGAGAUAGGCAGAACCGGUGUAAAAGGUCAGGUUUUCGCCCCAGGAGCGGCGCUGGUGGAGAGAUUCUUCGGUGAAGAGGAACUCCGGAGAGAUUGGGAGUUGGUAGAGGGUCUGGAUUGGAAUGUUUAAGUCUUGGUAUGGGUUGUAAAGGCGGGCUUGUGAGGAUUGGGUGUGGUCGGGCUCGUGAUCAGAGCCAGAGCGAGCCAUUAGGGUUAGGGCUAGGGUCAGGGGAAGGUGGAAUUUGGUUGCAGUUGCAGCAAGCUUUGAGCUUUGGGUGCUGGUCUGUUUGGUAAAGGGAAAAGCUAGAGCUUUGGCAAUGGCUACCUGUUGUGCCUAACUAUGCCUACGUGUUUCAUUCUUUAUUCUUUUCAAAGCAAAAUUUUAAGAAAAAUUGGCAUAUUUUCAUUUUUUGUUAAAUUAAUCAAUUUUUUAAUCCAAAAUGUGAUAAUCUUAGUCCUAAUUUAGUUGAUUUUUUU
RNAcentral lists this unclassified non-coding RNA (1134 nucleotides) under Hevea brasiliensis (rubber tree). Lineage: Eukaryota; Viridiplantae; Streptophyta; Magnoliopsida; Malpighiales; Euphorbiaceae. The record is from RNAcentral.